CUCGUUCGUCUCGUCGAAAAUAAAAAGAACCCCAUCCUCGAGCUCAAGGUCCGGCCGCCGGCGAGGCCUACGCACAAGAUCCGGCCGCCGGCUCUGCCCCCUCCGCCGCUCUGCGGCUCCGCUGCUCUACUCUCCCCCCGCCGCUUGCUCCGUUGCACCCCUCAGCCCCCGCGCCCCUCCCUCCGCCGUGGCUCUGCUCCCCGGCGCCGCUCCCUCCGGCGCUGCUCGGCUCCCCCGCGCCCGCUCCAUUCCUCGCGCCCUGAAGCCACCACGCCGCCGCACUGCUCCCUCCGCCGCGCCCCGAAGCCACCGGACCGCUCCCCUCCUACUCCUCCAUGCUGCUGCCCUCCUCCUCCGUGUCGUUCCACCGUGCCGUGCCCUCUGCCGCCACUCUGCUCCGACCGAGCAGUGGAGAGGAGACGGAAGACAGGUCGAUCCCAAAUCUACGCUAUGGACUUGGCGGAUGAUGAAGAAGACGACACCUCCGACAACUACAUUGAUGAUGGAUAUGUUGCACCUGUGAGUUCUAAUGUUGAAGGACCGGAUGAAUCAUUUUUCAUAUAAUUCUUGGAUCACGAGCACCUGGAGAAUAUGAGCAAGUCAUUCGACCUCACCAGCAGGAGCCAUCCUGGUUGUGGCCUCUGUAGACGUCGCACUAAUUUAUUUUUGCAAUUUAUCCAAAUGAAUCAGAAAAACUGCUUAUAGUUCCUGGAUAUUUGUUCAAGUGAACUGAUUGCAUAUUUUCCGAAAUAUAUAGUUGUGUUUCUGAAUCAGUUUGAGUUUCAGUAAACUGAAUCAGUUUCA
Long non-coding RNA from Panicum virgatum (switchgrass), 804 nucleotides. RefSeq lists it as uncharacterized. Lineage: Eukaryota; Viridiplantae; Streptophyta; Magnoliopsida; Poales; Poaceae. The record is from RefSeq and is a predicted model, not a curated record. The transcript has 3 exons.